Pelobates cultripes (western spadefoot toad) is the source of this 467-nucleotide non-coding RNA. The record is from the annotation of a GenBank genome assembly. NCBI's taxonomy places the organism in Eukaryota, Metazoa, Chordata, Amphibia, Anura, Pelobatidae.
CUGAGUGCACACAAUUAGUAUGUACGCGGCCCCUGUGACGUCGGACAGGGCAAAGAUCCGGACUGUGAGCUUCACGAGACGCUGGAAUCAUCAAGGUGAGUAAAAAAAACUUCCCCCCAGCUUUUAUUGCAAACAGAGGGGCCAGUCCAUAGUGCCCCCGUAACCAGUAACAUAUCCCUUUAAGUUAAAGUUGUUUUGGUGCUUAGAGUCUCCCUUAAAUAUUCAUGUGCCCCAGUGUUUUAUUAUACCUUGACAUUCCGCAGGUGGGUGACAGCCUCGUUACUGCAGCCAUGUAAUGCACUCCGUGGUUGUUUAGCGUUUUGUAAAUUUGGAUUUUCUUGCAGGACAUCUGUAUCUCUUGGAAACAGGAAAUAUCUCUGGUCUCUGCCAACAUCCAACAGCUUGGGUGCCUGUAUACUACAGACGGUGGAAAGAGAAAUGUGUCUUUUGUUUUUUUUGUACAUACG